GGGAAAAAAAAUGCAGAUGUAGAAAAAAAAAAAAAAGCCAAAAACAGAAAUGUGUGCUUGGUAUUCGAACAGUAAUGAAUGAGUUAAAUGUAACAUAAGCCUUGAACCAUCAGCCUUAAAAUAGAAAAGAAUGUGCACCCCUUUAUCUGGAUGUCAAAUAGCCGUGGACGGCAGAGAGGGAGCGACGUGUCCUUCUCUGGGUACACGAGUGCAUGACUGUGAGCACAAACUGGCACUGCAUGCUGGCAGAGCAAACAUCUGAGCGAGAGUUCAGAGAUUAUACCUACUUGUAGAGCUCUGCCAGAAAAAUAUCCAGACUCUGUAGCUCCUCAAACAGGCCUGUAAAAAAAAAAAAAAGAACAUUAUGAACGGUCUGUCGAUGGCUGUUUCUCAAUAUGCCUUCUUCAGUAGUCUUGCGUCCUCGUGUCCUCGUGUUCUCGUAUUCUCGUCAUCAUCAGCUGCCAAAGUUUAGUUCCAAUACUCAAGACCGCAAGAACGGAGAACGCGUGAAACUUCCCGGAUAUGUUCUUGAUAUUGAGGACGCACCGAUGCAGACUUGAGCACCAAGCUUGCUCUAGAAGUUCCAGAAGUCAUUGCGACUGGAGGCAUGAAGGUCACGUGACCAUCAGGAAGAACGCAGCAUCUCAUUUCUCAGAGGAUGCGUUCUCUGUUCUCGUGGUCUCCCGAGUUCAUUCUUCCGAGGACACCUGGCAAGACCGGUCUCCAUGAGAACACAAGUCCGUUCUCUGCGUUCUUGGAAUUGAGAAAUAGCCUAUGUCUCAUGGAUAUGAUCAUAUGUGCCUGUAGGCUGCACAGAGCAAAAAUGAAAAUGAAAAUAAAGCUUAUGUAUUUGUU
Long non-coding RNA from Danio aesculapii, 855 nucleotides. RefSeq lists it as uncharacterized. NCBI's taxonomy places the organism in Eukaryota, Metazoa, Chordata, Actinopteri, Cypriniformes, Danionidae. The transcript has 2 exons. The record is from RefSeq and is a predicted model, not a curated record.